ACCAGACUCCUACGGGAGGCAGCAGUGGGGGAUAUUGCACAAUGGGGGGAACCCUGAUGCAGCGACGCCGCGUGGGUGAAGAAGUAUUUCGGUAUGUAAAGCCCUAUCGGCAGGGAAGAAAUUGGACGGUACCUGACUAACAAGCCCCGGCUAACUACGUGCCAGCAGCCGCGGUAAUACGUAGGGGGCAAGCGUUAUCCGGAUUCACUGGGUGUAAAGGGAGCGUAGACGGCCAUGCAAGCCUGGAGUGAAAGCCCGGGGCCCAACCCCGGGACUGCUCUGGGAACUGUGCGGCUGGAGUGCAGGAGGGGCAGGCGGAAUUCCUGGUGUAGCGGUGAAAUGCGUAGAUAUCAGGAGGAACACCGGUGGCGAAGGCGGCCUGCUGGACUGCGACUGACGUUGAGGCCCGAAAGCGUGGGGAGCAAACAGGAUUAGAUACCCGUGUA
RNAcentral lists this ribosomal RNA (446 nucleotides) under uncultured bacterium. Its description in RNAcentral is "bacterial SSU rRNA". It matches the Rfam family "Bacterial small subunit ribosomal RNA", at positions 330 to 792 of the family's 1533-position model. The record is from RNAcentral.